UUCCUGGUGGUCUAGUGUCAGGACUCAGUGCUUUCACAGCUUUGGCCUGGGUUCAGUCCCUAGUCUGGGAAAUGAGGUCCCACAUAAAGCAGCUGCACAUGAAAUGCCCCUAUGCACAAACACAUAAAAUAUUUCCUGCAAGACCAUCUAGGGACCAAGAAUCUUUUGCUCUAAGCACAGGAAAGAAAAAUGGAUGGAAAUGACAUAGAAUUCAGAAAAUAUUUCCUACCUAAGAAAUAUUCUACCUUUUUCUCUAAUGCUAUGUAACCAAGAAGGCAGAAUAUGGGAAGAGAUUCCGAAAAGCAUGUCUUGAACACAUUGUAAAGUUACAUAAAAACAUUGACCAAAAUGAGUUUAAAACAUGAGCGUGAUCUGAUUAUGUAACGGAGGAGACUCACUAUUACUGUAGUUGAAAAUUGUGGCUCUGGAAGCUAUUCCUGGAAAUACUGAAUUCAGGCUUCUAGAAUGAGAGGAACAGUGGGCACGAUCACAAUUGUAUGGCUACUUUUAAAAAAUGUGUGCUGAGGAACUGAGUAUAUUCCCUAGUUUCAUUGUAUGUUAUUAGAAAACCAGUCUGUGAAAUUGGUUGUUCAAGGUUUUGUUCUCCGUGUGGAACGAGAGCAGAAGUGGAUGCUAACAUUGAGUCUUCAUAUACAUGAGGCCCCUCUUUCUUCCAGCAUCAUCAUCUUCCGUGGGAAGCCAGUGAAUCCUUACUUUAAAAUGCGAUUAUAGUGGAGAAAUGAUGUGAUUUUUUGAAUGUACACCAUUGACCAUAAGUUGCAUUUUAUGGCUCUAGUUAAAUGGCUCAGGAUGUUUCCGCUGAGUUCAAGGAGGUAGGGGAAGAAAUCAGUUUCAGAAAAUACAAAGCGGCUCAUUUAUUUAUGAUGUAGACUCUGUUCUCUUUGCGAUUCAGCUGCUUUCAAAGGCGUGUCGUGAGGAUGCUUCAGCUUUGGAAAUGGCCGUGUUGCGAUGGGAAAGAGGACAGUCAUCAGACAGCUCUUUUCAUGAGAGAUUUUGGAGUCAAAACUGCUUGGCCAUUCUUCUAAGGGAGGGUUUUUGCCAUGUAAUUCGAACGUGUAUUAAAUUGUAGCUUAAAAACAAUAAUCCUAGGAGUUCCCAUCGUGGCUCAGCAGAAAUGAAUCUGACUAGUAACCGUGAGGACGUGGGUUCGAUCCUUGGCCUUGCCCAGUAGGUUAAGGAUCCAGCGUUGCCCUGAGCUAUGGUGUGGGUAGCUAACAUGGCUUGGAACCCACAUUGCUGUGGCUGUGGCUGGCAGCUGUCGCUCCAGUUUGACACCUAACGUGGGAACUUCAUAUGCCAUAGAUGUGGCCCU
This 1333-nucleotide long non-coding RNA is filed under the name Sus scrofa (pig). RNAcentral describes it as "lncRNA (ENSSSCG00005012947.1)". Lineage: Eukaryota; Metazoa; Chordata; Mammalia; Artiodactyla; Suidae. The record is from RNAcentral.